RNAcentral lists this ribosomal RNA (1234 nucleotides) under Triticum aestivum (bread wheat). RNAcentral describes it as "partial small subunit ribosomal RNA". The record is from RNAcentral. Lineage: Eukaryota; Viridiplantae; Streptophyta; Magnoliopsida; Poales; Poaceae.
CUGGGUCGUCGUCGUCGUCAUGGACCGGCUGCUGCGGCGGUGGCGACGGCCGCCGCCGCUCCUCCCCCUGCGGUCGCUGUUCGACGAGUAGUAGUAGUGCGGGUGCGCGCGCGCCCGCAGCGUCCGGAUGAUGGAGUCGGCCUACCCGGUCUGCGACGCGGAGCAGGCGGGCGGGCACGAGACCCAGCAGCAGCUCCGGCCGUCCGGGUGGGGCCUCCGGCGGGAGCGCGACGCGGCGUGGCGGCAGUACGUGGCGAUGCAGCCGACGACGCUGCGGGAGUUGCGGAGGCGGAGGCGGCGGCGGCUGAAGGCGGGCGUGGUCGAGUUGCGGCCGGAGCUCCAGCAGCUCUUGGUGGCGGAGCUGCCGCAGCAGAUGAAGCGGCUGCUCCUCCCGCAGAUGAGGGAGGGCGAGAAGCUGGCGGAGGCGGUGUAGUCCUCCAAGCCGUGUACCGGCCAAGGCUGCUAGAGGCUCCCGCCGGUGCUGCAGCACGAGCUUCCCGGGCACACGUUCGUCUCGGUCCAACAACCCACCGUGUGGUCACCCCCACGGUUGUUCGAGGUCUCCAAAGUACAGCGGUACAGCCCGAAGCGCAAGUUGUCGUGGUACGAGACCCUAGGGUCCGACUCCAGGGUAGCCCGGACCUUGAGGUAGGCCGUGGGCCUUUGCCACCUCGUCCCGAAGGUUCCUUGGUGCAAACACCUCGUCAAUCACCUCCUACUCUCGGUCUACCUCCCGUAUGGGCGUCUGACGAGGGUUCAUUACUUGACCGUACACGGUAAACCUAGACUCUCGGGCCAGAUAGGGUUCCCCACCGCCAGGCGCCGCUUGGACCUACACUAAUAGGGAGACUUUAUUUAUCACAGUAGUCGUCGAGACAAGUAGUUUCGUGAUUGAGCAAACUGUCCGUAAAUGUAUCGCCAACUCGGAACUUCUAACCCGAGUUGUCCACGUCUCCGUAAGGUCCGACUGAAUGGAAACUCGUCGCCGCCGCCGCCGAGAACCGUUCUGCAACGAUGUUACAUCAAAAGCGUCAUGCUGAAAACUCUUUAUAAAACAUCCUACCUCUCUUGACCACCCCGUUGAGUUGAGAGACGCACAUUUACAUUUACAACAGCGCUAAACAUAAGUAAACAACUCAACGUUUUCGGUUUUCCACCUUAUAUAUACGUUCUAAACUUAUAGAAAGUCAACAACGUGUACCAGAACCAUCUACAAGUCACGUUUCCAAAUUUC